CAAUGGGGGAAACCCUGACGAAGCAAUACCGCGUGGGUGAUGACGGUCGUAAGAUUGUAAAGCCCUUUUCUGAGGGAAGAAUUCUGACGGUACCUCAGGAAUAAGCACCGGCUAACUCCGUGCCAGCAGCCGCGGUAAUACGGAGGGUGCAAGCGUUACCCGGAAUUAUUGGGCGUAAAGCGUCCGCAGGCGGUUUGUUAAGUUAAAUAUUAAAUCUUGAAGCCCAACUUUGAGGCUGUAUUUGAAAACUGAUAAACUAGAGUCUUUCAGAGGUGCGUGGAAUUCUGUG
Molecule: ribosomal RNA, 289 nt
Filed under: uncultured Microgenomates group bacterium
Lineage: Bacteria
Description: partial 16S ribosomal RNA
Rfam family: Bacterial small subunit ribosomal RNA
Source: RNAcentral